Molecule: ribosomal RNA, 491 nt
Filed under: uncultured bacterium
Lineage: Bacteria
Description: partial 16S ribosomal RNA
Rfam family: Bacterial small subunit ribosomal RNA
Source: RNAcentral
GAUGAACGCUGGCUACAGGCUUAACACAUGCAAGUCGAGGGGAAACGACGGGGAAGCUUGCUUCCCCGGGCGUCGACCGGCGCACGGGUGAGUAACGCGUAUCCAACCUGCCUCUGACUGAGGGAUAACCCGUCGAAAGUCGGCCUAAUACCUCAUGGUAUCGUCUGCGGGCAUCCAACGACGAUUAAAGAUUUCAUCGGUCAGGGAUGGGGAUGCGUCUGAUUAGCUUGUUGGCGGGGUAACGGCCCACCAAGGCUGCGAUCAGUAGGGGUUCUGAGAGGAAGGUCCCCCACAUUGGAACUGAGACACGGUCCAAACUCCUACGGGAGGCAGCAGUGAGGAAUAUUGGUCAAUGGGCGAGAGCCUGAACCAGCCAAGUAGCGUGCAGGAAGACGGCCCUAUGGGUUGUAAACUGCUUUUAUGCGGGGAUAAAGUGAGGGACGUGUCCCUCAUUGCAGGUACCGCAUGAAUAAGGACCGGCUAAUUCCGUG